GACGAACUGUCCAAACGUUAUUCGGAAUCACUGGGCUUAAAGGGUGCGUAGGCGGCGCGGUAAGUUGGGUGUGAAAUCCCUCGGCUCAACCGAGGAACUGCGCCCAAAACUACCGUGCUUGAGGAAGAUAGAGGUGAGCGGAACUUAGGGUGGAGCGGUGAAAUGCGUUGAUAUCCUAAGGAACACCGGUGGCGAAAGCGGCUCACUGGAUCUUUUCUGACGCUGAGGCGCGAAAGCCAGGGGAGCAAACGGG
RNAcentral lists this ribosomal RNA (253 nucleotides) under uncultured bacterium. RNAcentral describes it as "partial 16S ribosomal RNA". It matches the Rfam family "Bacterial small subunit ribosomal RNA", at positions 524 to 776 of the family's 1533-position model. The record is from RNAcentral.